AGAGAGACAUUGUCCCUUCGUGAACUUUUCAAUUUAUUGAUGGCUAUUUCCACUCUCCUUAUUUUGACAGACAUCAUAGAUCUUUCCUCUUUCAAUCCAUAUCAUAGUUUAUUUGGGGAAGUUAUAGAAAGGGUUUACAAUUGGGUAUAAACCGUAUUUUGUUAAGUCUCACUGUCUUUAUUGUCACAACAACUUAUUUAGCAUUUGGAUAUUUGCUUUAAGGGAAUUUCUUGGAUGUGAAACUAAUAUGGUUUCAUGUUGUUGAUUUUGCUGAUUCAUGGGUUAACCAAAUCAUAAUUAGUAUUACUCAAGGGCUUCUACUUUGUCGCUAGUCACUUAUAUUGGUGUAUGAGGAUGUAUGAAUUAGCUUUGGUAAACAUCCUCUUGGAUCAGCUUGUGUACAGAAGUUUUAAGCUUUAAGUUCUGGUAUGCAUCUUUUUAUGAUGAGAUAUGGCCAGGAACAUAUUGGUUUCCUUGUAUGACUAGGGAUUGUCAAGAGAAUUGGUCCAGGUAUGUUACGGCUAAUCUUUCUUUCUUUUGGCAUGGACAAAAAUUAUACUGAAGAAAUGAGAAAAUACACAGUUUCUAUAAAUUACUCUAUUCAUAAAAAUAGUAGGGGUUUCUAUAUUCUUGAUUCCCCAUGAGAAUUAUUAUUAUCUUCUGUUCAUGGGUCUCAGAAUAUUACGCAGUUGGAAAAGUUUAUCCGGAAAGAAAUAUCGAGAUUAUUAUGUAUUUUUCAUGCAUUUUAAUAAUUAUACACGUGCAUUGAACCAUGACCAGAGGGCGUUAUAUACGCGUAUAUAUGUAAAUAUAUGUAUAUGGGAUAUGGAAAAAGGUUACGGCAUUAUAUACACACCAUCACCUGAUCAGCUAGUAUAUGUUGAUGAUGUUGCCCACAGUAGAUAAAAUAUGAUUCGAACGGCAUUAUAUACGCGUAUAUAUGUAUGUGUAUAUAUAUGUAUAUGGGAUAUGGGAAAGGUUAUGGCAUUAUAUGUGCACCACCCCCUGAUCAGCUGGUAUACGAUAUUGAUUUUUCCCAUAGUGGCCGAUGCGAUAUAAUGGGAUGCCCUUAGAGGCUGAUGAUGUUAUGAAGUACCUAUACAUGACAUGACAUUCAUACGCAUAUGCAUGACGUUAAAAGUAAUUUAUGAUUUACAAAGUUAUUCAGACUUACAGGUUCACUCAUGUACUCUAUAUUUCUUCCAUGUCUCUUAUGUACUUAUUUAUGUGUCCUACAUACUUGGUACAUUAUUUGUACUAAUGUCCCAUUUGCCUAGGGAAGCUGCGUUUCAUGCCCGCAGGUCCCGAUAGACAGGUUGAGAGCCCUCCAAGUAGGCUAUCAGCUCAGCGAAAGAUGUUGUUGCGCUCUAUUUGCUUCGGAGUUGCUCGUUUGGUUAGUAUGAUUUAGACGUGUAUUGUUCGGUAUAGCGAGACUCUAUCCCGACCUUUAUGAAAUUUAUGUACUCUUAGAGACUUGUAGACAUAUGUCAUGUACAUAAAAGGUUGUACGACAUUGUCGGCCUACGUUUUGAGUUUAUAAAGGAUCGUGUUGGCCUAUUAGGCUCGUAUGUCAUGUGUUUGUGAUUAUGUAAUAAGAAAGAUACGUUACGUUGGUACUCGGUUGAGUAAGGUACUGGGUGCCCGUCGCGGCCCAUCGGUUUGGGUCGUGACACUCAUGAAUGGUGACACCCCGAUGUCGGGUUGUGUUGGUUUUAAAUUCCGCAAAUUGUACUGUUCACUGUAAGUCUAGAUAACUCUAUAAAUCAUGAAAUGCCUAUAGUGUCAUGCAUAUGCGUAUGAAUGUCAAUGCAUAGGUCUGUACGUACAUAACAUCAUCAAGCCUCUGAGGGCAUCCCAUCAUAUCAUUUUAUCCAUUGUGG
RNAcentral lists this long non-coding RNA (1880 nucleotides) under Nicotiana tabacum (common tobacco). RNAcentral's name for it is "long non-coding RNA (NTAB_LNC006012)". The record is from RNAcentral. Lineage: Eukaryota; Viridiplantae; Streptophyta; Magnoliopsida; Solanales; Solanaceae.